UCUAACUAUAACUGUCAGUGUAAUCCGUGUAGUCAGAUAGUCCUGAGGUAGCCACAGGCUACCCGAGCCAUCAGUGAGAUACCACUCUGGAAGAACUAGAAUUCUAACCUUGUGUCAAGACCUAUGGGCCAAACGAUAGUCUCAGGUAAACAGUUUCUAUGGGGCGUAGGCCUCCCAAAAUCUAACAGAGGCGUGCAAAGGUUUCCUCUGGUCGGACGGAGAUUGGCCUCUCUUUAAGGGAUGAUAUUGAGAAUGCUCAUUGAAUGAGCAAUUCAAUAAGAGAGCUCGGAUCGAAUCGGUACAUUGCCACAUUAUUGCAGGAGCCUAGUUGAACAUAAAGA
This 341-nucleotide ribosomal RNA is filed under the name Olea europaea subsp. europaea. RNAcentral describes it as "LSU_rRNA_bacteria". Lineage: Eukaryota; Viridiplantae; Streptophyta; Magnoliopsida; Lamiales; Oleaceae. The record is from RNAcentral.